Molecule: ribosomal RNA, 400 nt
Filed under: uncultured bacterium
Lineage: Bacteria
Description: bacterial SSU rRNA
Rfam family: Bacterial small subunit ribosomal RNA
Source: RNAcentral
GGGGAAUAUUGCACAAUGGGGGAAACCCUGAUGCAGCAACGCCGCGUGAAGGAAGACGGUUUUCGGAUUGUAAACUUCUAUCAAUAGGGACGAUAAUGACGGUACCUGAGGAGGAAGCCACGGCUAACUACGUGCCAGCAGCCGCGGUAAUACGUAGGUGGCAAGCGUUGUCCGGAUUUACUGGGCGUAAAGGGAGCGUAGGCGGAUACUUAAGUGGGAUGUGAAAUACCUGGGCUUAACUUGGGUGCUGCAUUCCAAACUGGGUGUCUAGAGUGUUGGAGAGGAAAGUGGUAUUCCUCGUGUAGCGGUGAAAUGCGUAGAGAUUAGGAAGCACACCAGUGGCGAAGGCGACUUUCUGGACAAUAACUGACGCUGAGGCUCGAAAGCGUGGGGAGCAAAC